UAACUAGAUAACUGAAAGUAAGUGCAGAUCUUUUAAAUCUGUUAUAGUAUUUAACGCCUACUUCUAGCUAA
This 71-nucleotide transfer RNA is filed under the name Pinnotheres excussus. Its description in RNAcentral is "tRNA-Lys". Lineage: Eukaryota; Metazoa; Arthropoda; Malacostraca; Decapoda; Pinnotheridae. The record is from RNAcentral.